RNAcentral lists this transfer RNA (77 nucleotides) under Coelorinchus multispinulosus (spearnose grenadier). RNAcentral's name for it is "tRNA-Thr". It matches the Rfam family "tRNA". From Rfam's summary of the family: Transfer RNA (tRNA) molecules are approximately 80 nucleotides in length. Their secondary structure includes four short double-helical elements and three loops (D, anti-codon, and T loops). Further hydrogen bonds mediate the characteristic L-shaped molecular structure. tRNAs have two regions of fundamental functional importance: the anti-codon, which is responsible for specific mRNA codon recognition, and the 3' end, to which the tRNAs corresponding amino acid is attached (by aminoacyl-tRNA synthetases). tRNAs cope with the degeneracy of the genetic code in two manners: having more than one tRNA (with a specific anti-codon) for a particular amino acid; and 'wobble' base-pairing, i.e. permitting non-standard base-pairing at the 3rd anti-codon position. Lineage: Eukaryota; Metazoa; Chordata; Actinopteri; Gadiformes; Macrouridae. The record is from RNAcentral.
CGCACUUGUAGCUCAACGAACACAGAGCACCAGCCUUGUAAGCUGGGGGUUGGGGGUUUAACUCCCCCCUCGGGCAC